GUGAUGGGAUGCUGACAACAACACAACAGGUGAAGAUGGCUCACAACUAAUGAUGCUGUCAUGCUGAAUAAAGUCAGUUCCAAAUGGAUUUGCUU
Molecule: long non-coding RNA, 95 nt
Organism: Scomber japonicus (chub mackerel)
Lineage: Eukaryota; Metazoa; Chordata; Actinopteri; Scombriformes; Scombridae
Exons: 3
Source: RefSeq, a predicted model, not a curated record